CCUACGGGCGGCAGCAGUCGAGAAUCAUUCACAAUGGGGGAAACCCUGAUGGUGCGACGCCGCGUGGGGGAAUGAAGGUCUUCGGAUUGUAAACCCCUGUCAUGUGGGAGCAAAUUAAAAAGAUAGUACCACAAGAGGAAGAGACGGCUAACUCUGUGCCAGCAGCCGCGGUAAUACAGAGGUCUCAAGCGUUGUUCGGAAUCACUGGGCGUAAAGCGUGCGUAGGCUGUUUCGUAAGUCGUGUGUGAAAGGCGCGGGCUCAACCCGCGGACGGCCCAUGAUACUGCGAGACUAGAGUAAGGGAGGGGGAACCGGAAGUCUCGGUGUAGCAGUGAAAUGCGUAGAUAUCGAGAGGAACACUCGUGGCGAAGGCGGGUUCCUGGACAUUAACUGACGCUGAGGCACGAAGGCCAGGGGAGCGAAAGGGAUUAGAUACCCUGGUAGUC
This 446-nucleotide ribosomal RNA is filed under the name uncultured bacterium. RNAcentral describes it as "partial 16S ribosomal RNA". It matches the Rfam family "Bacterial small subunit ribosomal RNA", at positions 338 to 795 of the family's 1533-position model. The record is from RNAcentral.